UGGGGAAUAUUGCACAAUGGGCGCAAGCCUGAUGCAGCCAUGCCGCGUGUGUGAAGAAGGACUUCGGGUUGUAAAGCACUUUCAGCGGGGAGGAAGGCGAUAAGGUUAAUAACCUUGUCGAUUGACGUUACCCGCAGAAGAAGCACCGGCUAACUCCGUGCCAGCAGCCGCGGUAAUACGGAGGGUGCAAGCGUUAAUCGGAAUUACUGGGCGUAAAGCGCACGCAGGCGGUCUGUCAAGUCGGAUGUGAAAUCCCCGGGCUCAACCUGGGAACUGCAUUCGAAACUGGCAGGCUAGAGUCUUGUAGAGGGGGGUAGAAUUCCAGGUGUAGCGGUGAAAUGCGUAGAGAUCUGGAGGAAUACCGGUGGCGAAGGCGGCCCCCUGGACAAAGACUGGCUCAGGUGCGAAAGCGUGGGGAGCAAACAGG
This 427-nucleotide ribosomal RNA is filed under the name Chloroflexota bacterium. RNAcentral's name for it is "Chloroflexi bacterium partial 16S ribosomal RNA". It matches the Rfam family "Bacterial small subunit ribosomal RNA", at positions 355 to 776 of the family's 1533-position model. The record is from RNAcentral. Lineage: Bacteria; Bacillati; Chloroflexota.